UACGUAGGGUGCAGGCGUUAAUCGGAAUUACUGGGCGUAAAGCGUGCGCAGGCGGCUUUGCAAGUGACGGGUGAAAUCCCUCGGCUUAACCGAGGAACUGCCUGUCAAACUGCGAGGCUUGAGACCGGGAGAGGUGAGUGGAAUUCCCAGUGUAGCGGUGAAAUGCGUAGAUAUUGGGAGGAACACCAGUGGCGAAGGCGGCUCACUGGACCGGUACUGACGCUGAUGCGCGAAAGCGUGGGGAGCAAACAGG
This 253-nucleotide ribosomal RNA is filed under the name uncultured bacterium. RNAcentral describes it as "partial 16S ribosomal RNA". It matches the Rfam family "Bacterial small subunit ribosomal RNA", at positions 524 to 776 of the family's 1533-position model. The record is from RNAcentral.